CCUACGGGAGGCAGCAGUGGGGAAUAUUGGGCAAUGGGCGCAAGCCUGACCCAGCAACGCCGCGUGAAGGAAGAAGGCUUUCGGGUUGUAAACUUCUUUUCUGAGGGACGAAGAAAGUGACGGUACCUCAGGAAUAAGCCACGGCUAACUACGUGCCAGCAGCCUCGGUAAUACGUAGGUGGCAAGCGUUAUCCGGAUUUAUUGGGUGUAAAGGGCGUGUAGGCGGGAAGGCAAGUCAGAUGGGAAAACUCAGGGCUCAACCCUGAGCCUGCAUUUGAAACUGUUGUUCUUGAGUGCUGGAGAGGCAAUCGGAAUUCCGUGUGUAGCGGUGAAAUGCGUAGAUAUACGGAGGAACACCAGUGGCGAAGGCAGAUUGCUGGACAGUAACUGACGCUGAGGCGCGAAAGCGUGGGGAGCAAACAGGAUUAGAUACCCCAGUAGUC
Molecule: ribosomal RNA, 443 nt
Filed under: uncultured bacterium
Lineage: Bacteria
Description: partial 16S ribosomal RNA
Rfam family: Bacterial small subunit ribosomal RNA
Source: RNAcentral